Hyposmocoma kahamanoa is the source of this 1091-nucleotide long non-coding RNA. RefSeq lists it as uncharacterized. The record is from RefSeq and is a predicted model, not a curated record. Lineage: Eukaryota; Metazoa; Arthropoda; Insecta; Lepidoptera; Cosmopterigidae. The transcript has 3 exons.
GAUGAAAUGGGCGGCGCCGCGGCACAUAUCACAUUGGAUGCUGUUUUCAUCGUACAGCAUAAACUGUGAAGCUCGUACCUACUGUACAACAUGUCGAUUAAUGGUGCGAUGAGUACGCGGAGCUGUGGAAUGCUCGAAACCCACGCCCAAUGAUCGAGAGGCACCAUUCACUUCUGCAUUGACCCCAGUUUCGGUGUAAUUGACCCUAGGGAUUCGUGCUUCGUUUAAAGUCCAAAUACAAAAGAUAUUGCUAUAAAGGAAUAUGAAAAUUGCAGCAAUCCAUUCCACUGGGGAGAGCACUGUGCCUGCAAUUUACUCCAAUUGGUGCUCAAUGUUACCAAUUUCGCACACAGAGGGCGCUAGUAGUAGCUUUCAAUAAUCAGCAAGGCAAAAGCAUGAGGAAAUAUUGGUAAAAUUACAGCAUUAUAUUUCUGAAUCAUAUAAAGCUCAGCUACCAUUUUCCUUCCCUGAGAACUGGGUACCAAUGCAAAACCUGAUUCAAUACCUAGCAAAAAAUAUUACAAAAAACAAGUUGAGCAAUCAUACAAUGGUAGUAGGUAUGUCUAUGUACUUGCUAAAUUUGUGAGGUCAUGCCUCAGAGGCGCCGCUGGGUAGAGCUCAGCCAAGGUCAAAUUUAGUAGUUGGCGUUAACAUAGUACCACAUUUCAUUUUAGUGAUGUAUUGUGAUUAGUGGUUCUAUGAAAUCUACAUAGGAAGCCAUUAGUCAAGUACAUCAAUAUGUAAUGUUGUUGAAUAUAAUCAUAAUCACUUAUUAUACUUUUAACUAGUAGAAUGUUAUCUUUAUAACACUCUAAUGAUUCUUGGAAAAAUACAGUCUUAGUCAGUACUUGUGUAUUUACAAGUCGAUUUAGUACAUGAGCUACUCAUUAAAAGAUUAUUUGAUAAUUAAGUGAAAAUGGUCAAAAUAUAAAUUAAUAAAUUGAAUGAUAUCAGCCUUCAAAUCAAGUGAUUAAAUCAGUAAAACAACAAUUGAAAAACAAAGGGAAAAUUUUUGCCACAUUGUUAAUUCGGUAGUUACACUCUAAUUUUAUAGAUGGCGUUGUAAGUACCAUGCGAGUGUAGUUACAAUC